Molecule: ribosomal RNA, 438 nt
Filed under: uncultured bacterium
Lineage: Bacteria
Description: partial 16S ribosomal RNA
Rfam family: Bacterial small subunit ribosomal RNA
Source: RNAcentral
UAGGGAAUCUUCCACAAUGGACGCAAGUCUGAUGGAGCAACGCCGCGUGAGUGAAGAAGGUUUUCGGACCGUAAAGCUCUGUUGUUGGUGAAGAAGGAUAGAGGUAGUAACUGGCCUUUAUUUGACGGUAAUCAACCAGAAAGUCACGGCUAACUACGUGCCAGCAGCCGCGGUAAUACGUAGGUGGCAAGCGUUGUCCGGAUUUAUUGGGCGUAAAGCGAGCGCAGGCGGAAGAAUAAGUCUGAUGUGAAAGCCCUCGGCUUAACCGAGGAAUUGCAUCGGAAACUGUUUUCUUGAGUGCAGAAGAGGAGAGUAGAACUCCAUGUGUAGCGGUGGAAUGCGUAGAUAUAUGGAAGAAUACCAGUGGCGAAGGCGGCUCUCUGGUCUGCAACUGACGCUGAGGCUCGAAAGCAUGGGUAGCGAACAGGAUUAGAUACC